UGCAGGCUGAGGAGGUCCGCCAUCAUUGCUGCCACCACCAGAGGGGUGAGUGGAGUGGAGCAGAGCCGGAAGGGCCGGUUACAGUCUAUCGCUGUGCAGUACAAACAAAAUGCAGAGGACGUGGUGAAGUGGCCAGAAUCAAAGCAGCUGUCCAGGAUAAAGUCUCCAGCUCCAAGACCAUGUCAUGCAAGGUGAAGAAAGAGAGUACACUGCCAUUGCAAUUAAAUAAAUGUCCCGGCCUCCGUGAUGUCAACUGUCUUUCUGGAGGACACUCAAAAGCUUUCAUCUUUAUUGUUAACUGUGGCAAUA
Hemicordylus capensis (graceful crag lizard) is the source of this 309-nucleotide long non-coding RNA. RefSeq lists it as uncharacterized. The record is from RefSeq and is a predicted model, not a curated record. Lineage: Eukaryota; Metazoa; Chordata; Lepidosauria; Squamata; Cordylidae. The transcript is spliced from 3 exons.